GUGCUCACUUCAGCGCAGAUAUACUAAAAUUGGUACCAUACAGAGGAGAUGAGCAUGGUUCCUGCAUAAGGAUGACAUGCAAAUUCGUGAAGCAUUCCAUAUUUUA
This 106-nucleotide small nuclear RNA is filed under the name Carlito syrichta (Philippine tarsier). The record is from RNAcentral. Lineage: Eukaryota; Metazoa; Chordata; Mammalia; Primates; Tarsiidae.